CAGCCGUAAACUAUGCUCGCUAGGUGUCAGGCAUGGCGCGACCGUGUCUGGUGCCGCAGGGAAGCCGUGAAGCGAGCCACCUGGGAAGUACGGCCGCAAGGCUGAAACUUAAAGGAAUUGGCGGGGGGAGCACAACCACGGGUGGAGCCUGCGGUUUAAUUGGACUCAACGCCGGACAACUCACCGGGGACGACAGCAAUAUGUAGGCCAGGCUGAAGACCUUGCCUGAAUCGCUGAGAGGUGGUGCAUGGCGUAGACGUGU
Molecule: ribosomal RNA, 262 nt
Filed under: uncultured archaeon
Lineage: Archaea
Description: partial 16S ribosomal RNA
Rfam family: Archaeal small subunit ribosomal RNA
Source: RNAcentral